This 253-nucleotide ribosomal RNA is filed under the name uncultured bacterium. Its description in RNAcentral is "partial 16S ribosomal RNA". It matches the Rfam family "Bacterial small subunit ribosomal RNA", at positions 524 to 776 of the family's 1533-position model. The record is from RNAcentral.
UACAGAGGGUGCAAACGUUGCUCGGAAUUACUGGGCGUAAAGCGCGUGUAGGCGGGCUUGCAAGUCAGAUGUGAAAUCUCCGGGCUCAACCCGGGAACUGCAUUUGAAACUGCAAGCCUUGAGUAUCGGAGAGGAAAGCGGAAUUCCUGGUGUAGAGGUGAAAUUCGUAGAUAUCAGGAGGAACACCGGUGGCGAAGGCGGCUUUCUGGACGAUAACUGACGCUGAGACGCGAAAGCGUGGGGAGCAAACAGG